GAUGAACGCUAGCUACAGGCUUAACACAUGCAAGUCGAGGGACCGGCGCACGGGUGAGUCACACGUAUCCAACCUGCCCUUUACUCGGGGAUAGCCUUUCGAAGGAAAGAUUAAUACCCGAUGUAAAGGAUGGGGAUGCGUUCCAUUAGGUUGUUGGUGAGGUACCGGCUCACCAAGCCUUCGAUGGAUAGGGGUUCGGAUAGGAAGGACCCCCACAUUGGAACUGAGACACGGUCCAAACUGCUACGGGAGGCAGCAGUGAGGAAUAUUUGUCAAUGGGCGUUAGCCUGAACCGGCCAAGUAGCGUGAAGGAUGAAGGCUUGUGGGUCGUAAUCUACUUUUAUAUAAGAAUCUGUAUUAUAUUAAUAAGGAUCGGCUAACUCCGUGCCAGCCGCCGCGGUAAUUC
Molecule: ribosomal RNA, 406 nt
Filed under: uncultured bacterium
Lineage: Bacteria
Description: partial 16S ribosomal RNA
Rfam family: Bacterial small subunit ribosomal RNA
Source: RNAcentral